RNAcentral lists this ribosomal RNA (407 nucleotides) under uncultured bacterium. RNAcentral describes it as "bacterial SSU rRNA". It matches the Rfam family "Bacterial small subunit ribosomal RNA", at positions 354 to 775 of the family's 1533-position model. The record is from RNAcentral.
AUUAGGAAUCUUGCGCAAUGGGCGAAAGCCUGACGCAGCGACGUCGCGUGGGGGACGAAGGCCUUCGGGUUGUAAACCCCUUUUAUCUGGGAAGAAACAAAUGACGGUACCAGGUGAAUAAGCCCCGGCUAACUCCGUGCCAGCAGCCGCGGUAAUACGGAGGGGGCGAGCGUUGUCCGAAUUUACUGGGCGUAAAGAGCGCGUAGGCGGGUCUCUAAGUCCGCUGUGAAAGCCCGGGGCUCAACCCCGGAGGGUCGGCGGAUACUGGAGGCCUUGAAGGUGCUAGGGGGAAGUGGAAUUACAGGUGUAGCGGUGAAAUGCGUAGAUAUCUGUAGGAACACCAGUGGCGAAGGCGGCUUCCUGGGGCAUUCUUGACGCUGAGGCGCGAAAGCUGGGGGAGCGAACGG